Molecule: long non-coding RNA, 347 nt
Organism: Capsella rubella
Lineage: Eukaryota; Viridiplantae; Streptophyta; Magnoliopsida; Brassicales; Brassicaceae
Exons: 3
Source: RefSeq, a predicted model, not a curated record
ACUAACUUGUUGGGUUGGUAAAAACGACCAGCAGAGAAAAGAAGCCUUAUGAGAAGACAAUGAACUUAAAGAUUAUAGACAAACGACUUUGAAAAGUUGUAUGUGCUUCUGGAGAUGUGCAGAUAUUAAGACUUUGAGUAGAUUCAAGUGUAGGACACUUCUUUGACAGGUUCAUAUUCUCACUGAUGCAAAGGAUCAGGUAUAUGCUUAUCUCGACUUCUCUGUUAUGAGUUGAUUUUUUACAGAUGUACGCACCAUAUAUAAUUAAAAUUGUUUAAUUAUGUCAGUUGUCUUACUUUCAUUACUAUCCUUUAUUUAUCAUGCAAAUUCUAGAAAAUUAUUGCUAA